This 431-nucleotide ribosomal RNA is filed under the name uncultured bacterium. Its description in RNAcentral is "partial 16S ribosomal RNA". It matches the Rfam family "Bacterial small subunit ribosomal RNA", at positions 29 to 507 of the family's 1533-position model. The record is from RNAcentral.
AACGAACGCUGGCGGCAGGCUUAACACAUGCAAGUCGAGCGCCCCGCAAGGGGAGUGGCAGACGGGUGAGUAACGCGUGGGAACGUACCUUUUGGUUCGGAACAACUCCGGGAAACUGGAGCUAAUACCGGAUAAGCCCUAACGGGGAAAGAUUUAUCGCCGAAAGAUCGGCCCGCGUCUGAUUAGCUAGUUGGUGAGGUAACGGCUCACCAAGGCGACGAUCAGUAGCUGGUCUGAGAGGAUGAUCAGCCACACUGGGACUGAGACACGGCCCAGACUCCUACGGGAGGCAGCAGUGGGGAAUAUUGGACAAUGGGCGCAAGCCUGAUCCAGCCAUGCCGCGUGAGUGAUGAAGGCCUUAGGGUUGUAAAGCUCUUUUGUCCGGGAAGAUAAUGACUGUACCGGAAGAAUAAGCCCCGGCUAACUUCGUG